RNAcentral lists this ribosomal RNA (494 nucleotides) under uncultured bacterium. RNAcentral describes it as "partial 16S ribosomal RNA". It matches the Rfam family "Bacterial small subunit ribosomal RNA", at positions 30 to 507 of the family's 1533-position model. The record is from RNAcentral.
AUUGAACGCUGGCGGCAUGCUUUACACAUGCAAGUCGAACGGCAGCGGGGAGGUGCUUGCUUCUCUGCCGGCGAGUGGCGAACGUGUGAGUUAUACAUCGGAACGUUUCGAGAAGAGGGGGAUAACCACCCGAAAGGGUGGCUACUACCGCCUAAAUUCUGAGGAAGAAGGCUGGGGACCUAGCAAUAGGCCUGGCGCUUUUUGAUCGGCCGAUGUCGGAUUAGCUAGUUGGUGCGGUAAAGGCUCACCAAGGCGAAGAUCUGUAGCGGGUCUGCGAGGAUGAUCCGCCACACUGGGACUGAGACACGGCCCAGACUCCUAAGGGAGGCAGCAGUGGGGAAUUUUGGACAAUGGGGGGAACCCUGAUCCAGCCAUGCCGCGUGUAUGAAGAAGGCCUUAGGGUUGUAAAGUACUUUUGUUAGGGAAGAAAAGUCAGCUGGGAAUAAUGGCUGAUACUGACGGUACCUAAAGAAUAAGCACCGGCUAACUACGUG